UACGGAGGGUGCAAGCGUUGUUCGGAAUUAUUGGGCGUAAAGCGCGCGCAGGCGGGCUACUAAGUCUGAUGUGAAAUCCCACGGCUCAACCGAGGAAUUGCAUUGGAUACUGGUAGUCUUGAGUCUCGGAGAGGAAAGCGGAAUUCCCAGUGUAGAGGUGAAAUUCGUAGAUAUUGGGAGGAACACCAGCGGCGAAGGCGGCUUUCUGGACGAUGACUGACGCUGAGGCGCGAAAGCAUGGGUAGCAAACAGG
Molecule: ribosomal RNA, 253 nt
Filed under: uncultured bacterium
Lineage: Bacteria
Description: partial 16S ribosomal RNA
Rfam family: Bacterial small subunit ribosomal RNA
Source: RNAcentral